CCCAAUCCUGAACGUCCCUCCUCCUCACCUUCGUCCUCAGCUCGAGCCCCUUCUGCUCUAGGUUUCUGAUGCUCUAGGGUUUCUGAUCCUAGCAGGUCAUGAGAAGGAAGAGCAGGCCGCUCCCGGUGGCCUUCUCCGAGGAGCGGUGGCGCGGUGCUCGGCUGCAAGGGGAAUAUGAGGCAGAGACCAAGAAGGAGAGCCCGGCUGCAGGAUAAAGAGGAGGAGCAGAAAGUGACUUCGAAGCAAAUCAAUUUCAGCCAGAAGGAACUCAAAAUAGUGUUGGCAGGAGAUAUCACCAUAAUGCAAAAAUCUGCUGCAAGUCAAUUCAGGUUUUCUAGGUCAUUUACAAUUUACAAACCAGAUUCCAGUAGCAUUAAAUAUGGCAAAAAACAUCGAAGGAGAAGACCUUUAUCUGAAGAAACAGAUGAAGUCCGAUGGGCAUGGCCAGCAUUUUCCUACGAAGAAAACAAAUCAGGUUGCAAUGUAAUGUGCAGAGGUCCUCUUUGUCCCUGCAGUGCGUGGAGGUGGUUGGCCUCGGCCAGGUUAAGUUGUCGAUGCCAGUGAACCUCUGUAUAUGCACUCCGUUCCUAGAGUUGGUGUUCCUCAUCCCCUUAUCUGAAAAUUCAUUUAGAAUAAGGCCACUUGCGCAUCCAGUGAAGGGUUGUGAUGCCGCGGUCUGUGCAACAUUGUCAUUGUCGCCAGAGGCAUACAAGAGAAGUCCAGUCCCAAGCCGGCAUCAUGGCCUCUACUUCCAAUAGAUCCUUUUCAGGCCUAGAUUCAUUGACGCUGGAGGCUCGGUGUCACAUCCGGUGGCCAAGUCGGAAAUCAAAGCUACACAUACUGAUAAUGGAUAUGAAUGGAGAGUAUCCUUGCCAACCAGUUGUCACAGUACUCCCAGGGACGUGUUUCAAAAGGAUGGUGUGUACUGAAUAUGAGUUCAACACACUAAGGUGUACUUAUCAGUUCGGCAAAGUCACACAAAUACUGUUGCAGGUCUACCAGUACUGUAAAAUUUUAAUCCCUCCGAUCCAUAAUAUCUACUGGGUGAAUAAUCCAACUACAGUUUUUAUGGUCUAAAGUUUUCAAGGAUAUGAAUGGAGAGUAUCCUCGCCAACCAGUUGUCACAGUACUCCCAGGGACGUGUUUCAAAAGGAUGGUGUGUACUGAAUAUGAGUUCAACACACUAAGGUGUACUUAUCAGUUCGUUCUUUCUAUGAAGCAUGUCACAUUGUCUGCAAGCUCACGAGGUACAUCUCCUCCUACUUCAUCUAAGGUUGUUAGGUUGUACUCCCUGCUCCUUAUUUACUCAUUUGUUGACUAUUUAUCUCCCGGACCUUCACUGUCAAUAUUGAGGCUGCAUGCAACAGUGGCAUAGAUGUGCCUUCGACUUCUUGCACAAAAGUUGGUCAUAUAUUUCUAAAGUUUUGGGUAACUCAUAUUUUCUCACAUUCAACCUGUUGAAUCAAAUGAGAGUAGCCUGCAUGUAUAGUUCUUAGUCUUUCUAAAAUUAUCCAAUUCUCUAAUGGGGCCCUAAUAACUAGGUUGUUUUCAGAGAUAUGUACAGUGGGACCGGUGUCGGUUGGUGUCAGCUGAAACACAUGAUUAUUCACAUUAUUUUUAGCAGCUCUUAUAGUGGUACUUGCGGAUUAAUAUGGUCGGUCAUCAUAAUUUGUAGCAUUCUCUCUAUCGUGGUCAAUUGCGUCCUGAGGCUUUUUCGAUGGAUUAUUCACCAUUUUUGUUUGCAGCCUGGUUGAGUAUGUCUCCGAGCAUCCGUCCUCUCCUAGCUUUCUAAUUAUUAGCAUGUUUAUAUCUCUUGUGCAAGUUAAGAGUACCAGAUGUAGUUUGUAACCAUAUAAAUUUUGUAGCAGAUUUUACUUGUUCGGGUUCUAAUAGAAACUUGCCUAGCUUUUGAAAAAUCAUGCAUGUGUAUAUCAGUGAUCUGCAUCCAAAGUCUGUAAAGCAUAUUGGUAGCAUAAUUUAUUUUGAAGCAGUUUUCUCCAUCUUAUAGUGUAUGUUCAGGUUUUCAGCACACCAUUGGUUUUUCCUUUUCUUUUUGUCUUUUGCUUUUUAAUUGAAGAAAUAAAGAGAAAACCAAUUAUUGUCAUUUUUCGCUUCCAGCUUGUAUUUAAAUUUGGAUUACACUACCAGUGCAAUGGAAACCAGAUAUGGUAUGUCUACUUGAGAAUCGAUCACUAUUUCUGGUAUGUCACACAGCUAUCGUAGAUAAGCGAUCACUAUUUCCACUUCAUAUUUUUUUUAUGGUACGCAGAUUCUUUUAUAUAUACCUACAAGUUGUUUGAUGAGAAUUUAAUUAUGCUGCAAGGGGAUAUUCUUCUAUUUAAUGUUUAUGCCAUGUUGUGUACUCAUUUCUUUUUUAGUCAGCUCAAGUAAACGAUGAGAAGUUGAGUAGUCUGUCAGGCUGCAUCUUUGGGCAAUCACUGCAGACAGACAGCGACAACCUGAUGCAAGAUGUUAUCAAUCCCCACCCUUCUCCCUUAUUGCUCUCCCUUGUUUUCUACAGUAAUACAGAAUUUUGUAAUAUUUUGGUUCAGAAAAUUGAUCGGUUGUAUUCUGUAUAUAUAGAGGUUGAUGUAAAUUAUCGA
Long non-coding RNA from Lolium rigidum, 2603 nucleotides. RefSeq lists it as uncharacterized. Lineage: Eukaryota; Viridiplantae; Streptophyta; Magnoliopsida; Poales; Poaceae. The transcript has 9 exons. The record is from RefSeq and is a predicted model, not a curated record.